This 253-nucleotide ribosomal RNA is filed under the name uncultured bacterium. RNAcentral describes it as "partial 16S ribosomal RNA". It matches the Rfam family "Bacterial small subunit ribosomal RNA", at positions 524 to 776 of the family's 1533-position model. The record is from RNAcentral.
UACGAAGGGGGCUAGCGUUGCUCGGAAUUACUGGGCGUAAAGCGCACGUAGGCGGCUUUCUAAGUCGGGGGUGAAAUCCUGGAGCUCAACUCCAGAACUGCCUUCGAUACUGGAGAGCUCGAGUCCGGGAGAGGUGAGUGGAACUGCGAGUGUAGAGGUGAAAUUCGUAGAUAUUCGGAAGAACACCAGUGGCGAAGGCGGCUCACUGGCCCGGUACUGACGCUGAUGUGCGAAAGCGUGGGGAGCAAACAGG